UACAGAGGGUGCAAGCGUUGUUCGGAAUUAUUGGGCGUAAAGGGCGCGUAGGCGGUGCUAUAAGUCUGUGGUGAAAUCUCUGGGCUCAACUCAGAGUCUGCCAUAGAAACUGUAGUGCUAGAGUGUGGGAGAGGUGAGUGGAAUUCCGGGUGUAGUGGUGGAAUGCGUAGAGAUCCGGAGGAACACCAGCGGCGAAGGCGGCAUCCUGGACUGGUCCUGACACUCAGGAGCGAAAGCGUGGGGAGCGAUCCGG
RNAcentral lists this ribosomal RNA (253 nucleotides) under uncultured bacterium. Its description in RNAcentral is "partial 16S ribosomal RNA". It matches the Rfam family "Bacterial small subunit ribosomal RNA", at positions 524 to 776 of the family's 1533-position model. The record is from RNAcentral.